Molecule: long non-coding RNA, 1246 nt
Organism: Chenopodium quinoa (quinoa)
Lineage: Eukaryota; Viridiplantae; Streptophyta; Magnoliopsida; Caryophyllales; Amaranthaceae
Exons: 4
Source: RefSeq, a predicted model, not a curated record
AACUUUUUUGGUGGUAAAUUAAAAGUUUUAGAAAUUUUGACGGUAAAAAAUAUUUUUUUGUUUUUUUUUUGUUUGUGGUAAAAGUAAAAAAAAAAAAAUCCUAUAUAUACCAAAUUUAAGCUUGUGUAAUCCAUUAGUUUUAUUUUUUAUGCAUUAAUAAAUUAUGUGAAAUUAUUUAUAAAAUAACAAACGACAUGUAACACUACAAAAAUUAGAUUCAAUAACGACAAUGUAUUAAUGACGGGCUUAAGCCCCGUCUUUAUAUGAGGCUUUUAACGACAUGAUAUUUGACCCGUCGUCAUAAACACUUACCGAACUUAAAACCUAGCUCAAUAAUUCACUUAACUUGAUAAACAAAAAUACCAAACCCAACUUUUUCUCUCCUCUCCAUUUUGUCAUUUUGUCAUUUCUUCAUCUCUUAGAUUACCAGGGUUUAAUGGCUGAUUUUCCAACUUACGAUGUCUAUUGUUGAGUUUGAUUGCUAAAAUCAUCCAUUUCAAUAAAGUUUGAGGCUAGAAUGCUGAGAAUAAAAGUGUAGUAACCAUGUCGCAACGUACCGAAAGCAAGCCAUUUCGACAAAUAAAGUAUGAUAUGGGUGGAAGUUCGGGAAAUCCUCCAAGUUUUGAGAAGUUUUGAUUUGACACCCAUAAAACAGGAAAUAUCUUGGACAAGCCCGAAAUAGUGGAAAAAUAUGAAAAACUCAAGAAGACCAUUCAAGAAAAUCCCGAAAUGGAGAUAUUUGAUGUCAUAGAAGGAUGUUUUGGGCGCCAAAAUAAAGGAUAUGUUGCUGGGUAUGGUGGUUUUGUCAAGCCUAAGGAUCUAAGAGGACCACUACCGAGUAAAUUUGACCUCGAAAUGAAGUUAAAACAAGUUGAGCAAGUUAACAAAGAGCUAUUGGGAAGGCUAGAGCAUAUGGAAGCAGAGAACGAAACAUUCUCUACACAUUUAAAUGAAGUUGAAGCAAAAUUUCAGGCCAUGUUGGAUGCUUUCAGUGAUCAGUGAGGUAAAAAAUUAUCAUUCAUGUGAUGCUAAAUAUUUGUACUCUGUGUUUGUUUGGGGGGAAAAAAAACAGAAUGUUGUUAUUGUUGGUCCCUGUUUUCAUAUGUGAGGUACUCGUUUCAGUUGAGAUUGAUGGAGUACUAGCUAGUUGGGUCAAAAUUAUUGUGCUUGCUUGUUAAUGCAGUACAUCUUUGGGUUAAUGUAGUAUAUGCCAGUUAUACUAUCUGAUCAUGGGUUUGUUUUGGUA